UUCUGCUCCUCCAUUCACCUAGUGGCAAUCAUCACAGUUUGACCAUACACUGCAGGAUAAUCAGCUCAGGAACUCCAAGGCUAGUUUUGAGAUAUGUCUAAAUUGAAGUGGAAAAAAGACAUAGGGAUGUGCUCAGAUCAAUGACUGUGCUUUGGUUUAGUCUGAGGAUGAAACAGUGGCAGCUCAACAAUGAGUAUUUGGACACUGAGUGAGAAGUCUCUGGUGUUCUGGACAGAGCUCCUCAAGAUUGGAUGAAGUUAACAGAUUUGGAGGUAGUAGUUUUAAGAGAGGUAGGAUGUUGGACAAAAGUUGAACCCAGACCAUUCUUGGAGAGCUUCAGAAAUUUGUUCCGCAGCCAGAUGCCGUCUGGAUGAUCUCUUAUGGGAAAGUACCAGUGUAUUGAUGCCUGAUAGAAUGGUAAAUUUAGCCUACCGCUUUUCAGACUGUUAUGUAUCUUCUAGUGUUUGUCUCCAUCUUUAUAGGAAUUAGGUCUUGUCAUGAGAAGAAUCACUAAGAUGGUGCAAUAACGACUUGAUUCUGCAUCCUUGUGCAAGUACAUACCAUUGACCAAGAUCACUGGGCAGCCAAUCUUAAUGACAUCUCAGAAGAGUUGGAUUGUAAGGACUUGGAGUCACAAUUUUUACUAAAUGACUCUUGAAAUAUAAUUUUGCAUUUUAAAAAUAUUCAGCUCGCACAGUAAAUUCUUGUUUAAGGCUCUGCUAGA
Molecule: long non-coding RNA, 724 nt
Organism: Lagopus muta (rock ptarmigan)
Lineage: Eukaryota; Metazoa; Chordata; Aves; Galliformes; Phasianidae
Exons: 3
Source: RefSeq, a predicted model, not a curated record